Acanthosepion pharaonis is the source of this 91-nucleotide non-coding RNA. Lineage: Eukaryota; Metazoa; Mollusca; Cephalopoda; Sepiida; Sepiidae. The record is from the annotation of a GenBank genome assembly.
CAUAAACACAUGUUCUAGUACGAUCACCGAAGUUAAGCAACAGCAAGCUGAUUAGUACUUUGAUGAGUGACCGCUUGGGAAUACCAGGUGC